RNAcentral lists this ribosomal RNA (798 nucleotides) under uncultured Proteiniphilum sp. RNAcentral's name for it is "bacterial SSU rRNA". It matches the Rfam family "Bacterial small subunit ribosomal RNA", at positions 8 to 795 of the family's 1533-position model. Lineage: Bacteria; Pseudomonadati; Bacteroidota; Bacteroidia; Bacteroidales; Dysgonomonadaceae. The record is from RNAcentral.
AGAGUUUGAUCAUGGCUCAGGAUGAACGCUAGCGAUAGGCCUAACACAUGCAAGUCGAGGGGCAGCACAUGAAGUAGCAAUACGGAUGGUGGCGACCGGCGCACGGGUGAGUAACGCGUAUGCAACCUGCCUACAACAGGGGAAUAACCCGUUGAAAGACGGACUAAUACCCCAUAACACAGGGAUCCCGCAUGGGAAUAUUUGUUAAAGAUUUAUCGGUUGUAGAUGGGCAUGCGUUCCAUUAGCUGGUUGGUGAGGUAACGGCUCACCAAGGCAACGAUGGAUAGGGGAACUGAGAGGUUUAUCCCCCACACUGGUACUGAGACACGGACCAGACUCCUACGGGAGGCAGCAGUGAGGAAUAUUAGUCAAUGGACGCAAGUCUGAACCAGCCACGUCGCGUGAAGGAAGACGGCCCUACGGGUUGUAAACUUCUUUUGUAAGGGAAUAAAGUGUAGUACGUGUACUAUUUUGCAUGUACCUUACGAAUAAGGAUCGGCUAACUCCGUGCCAGCAGCCGCGGUAAUACGGAGGAUCCGAGCGUUAUCCGGAUUUAUUGGGUUUAAAGGGUGCGCAGGCGGGAGAUUAAGUCGGCGGUGAAAUUUUGCAGCUCAACUGUAAAAGUGCCUUCGAAACUGGUUUUCUUGAGUGUGGAUGAAGUAGGCGGAAUUUGUGGUGUAGCGGUGAAAUGCAUAGAUAUCACGAGGAACUCCGAUUGCGCAGGCAGCUUACUAAACCAUAACUGACGCUCAGGCACGAAGGCGUGGGGAUCAAACAGGAUUAGAUACCCUGGUAGUC